This 378-nucleotide unclassified non-coding RNA is filed under the name plant metagenome. Its description in RNAcentral is "partial contains 5.8S ribosomal RNA, internal transcribed spacer 2, and large subunit ribosomal RNA". The stretch from base 1 to 105 matches the Rfam family "5.8S ribosomal RNA", at positions 50 to 154 of the family's 154-position model. The record is from RNAcentral.
GAAAUGCGAUAAGUAAUGUGAAUUGCAGAAUUCAGUGAAUCAUCGAAUCUUUGAACGCACCUUGCGCUCCUUGGUAUUCCUUGGAGCAUAACUGUUUGAGUAUCAUGAAAUCUUCAAAGUAAAUCUUUUGUUAACUCAAUUGGUUUCUACUUUGGUAUUGGAGGUCUUUGCAGCUUCACACCUGCUCCUCUUUGUUCAUUAGCUGGAUCUCAGUGUUAUGCUUGGUUCCACUCGGCGUGAUAAGUUAUCUAUCGCUGAGGACACUGUAAAAGGUGGCCAAGGUAAAUGCAGAUGAACCGCUUCUAAUAGUCCAUUGACUUGGACAAUACUUUUAUGAUCUGAUCUCAAAUCAGGUAGGACUACCCGCUGAACUUAAGC